AUUUACGAGUUUCCUAGUUCUGACUAACACUUGAACGCGGCAUAUCACCCUUUACUGUCACAUGCUGUCUGGCACGGAUGCACUGUUUGGGGGGUUCACCCCUUUGAUGUAAUUUUUAAACAGACAAUCCCGGAAAGUACUGGAUAAGAUACAGCAAAAAACUCUUAGAAAGUGAAAUUGUAUAAUGCAUACAAAUGAUCUCAAAUUAAAUGAAAAAGCGAUAUGAUUUUGAAGGAGGAUUGUAACAGUUAAAAAAAGCGAUAUGAUUUUAAUGGAUAAUAUGGUAACAUUUCCUCAUAUAUAGGUUGAUAUGAUAGGGAGGAGUGUUCCUUAAUAAAGCAGGUGCCUAUUCUAUCGAAGCCUUUGAUCACAACUAAAAUAAAAUCAUAAUUCCCAGGGGGUCUGGUGGUGAAUCCAAAGCAAUCCAGCGUGCCCCACAGCGAAGUUCCCGCCUCAUUAUGUAACUCCUGCUAUCAUAAAUACGGACCUUAACUGGCACUUCCACAAUUUAUGUCAGGGAAAAGGCCAGAGUCAGAUACACGGACGCAGCAAUCCAUCCUAUUGGCAGUCAGAACAUAAUACGAUUUGCAGGCAUCUCAUAACGGUAAACGCUAACGACUUCUGCGUCUCUGGGAUUUUACACUGUGACCCUUCCCACCAACAAUUUGAAAGGUCUUUGAGGGUCAAGCGGAUUUGGUAUUAUUUACUGCAAUAUUCCAGAUUUGACAAGGACUAUAAAAACCAUCGCGGUAGCUAGCCUUUACGAAUCAAUCACUUUCUGAACCUCAGCAGUGAAGCAGCGGACGUGAAAUGGACUUCGAUCUGCCACCCGGUUUUACAGCCAGUGGUAUCGCAUGGGAGAGGGUCCUGCCGCCUCUUCUUCCCGGGCUGAACGGGACAUUCGGGCUGUACUCAUUCACUCCGUCGGAGCUGCUCACCCUAGUGACAGAGCACACUGGCCCUGCACAGGUGUGUUGUGACCACAGUAGAUUCACAGUUCAGGUUGAUGUGAAACACUUCAACCCAGAGGAGCUGAUGGUCAAGGUGACAGGAGACUUUGUGUAGGUCCAAGGGAAACACAAAGAGAAAAAAGAUGGGUCGGGGGUGGUGACGCGAUAGUUCAACCGGUGCUACAGGAUUCCAGAGGGAGUGGACUCCAUGGCUCAGUAGUCGGCUGUGUCGCCUGAAAGCAUCCUCAUCAUAUCUGCCCCUAUGCUGCAGGGGGAGAACUCCGGACACCUGUCCCACUCAGAAUCAUGAGCAUUCACACCCUAGGAACAAACACACAAUCCAUAGGAACCAGUGUUGGGGAGUAGUAAACUACAUGUAGUUCAACUAGUAAUUUAACUACUUUUUGCAGUAGAUGGUGGCAGUUCAAAUCUUGGUAGUAUUUAGUAGUUAACUUCUUUUUUUGCCAUGUAGCAGUGUAGCUAACUACUGGGAUUACACUACUUUUUUUGCAAAUAGAAAAAUAAUUAUGGGUGUAGUAAGCAAUAAUUUCCUUUCUUUUUCAGUAUUACUCCUUUCUAGUUCUCACUUGAAACAUAGUUGUUUAAUAUGCUAAAUUACACAUUCUGUUAACAUCUUACUCCAGAGUGAACUGUUCUUGCAAUUUGUAGUCUGACAUUUCAAACUUAAAUAUGAUAAUUUAUCAAAGUAGUUUGAUGUAGUGAACUCUUUUCAAAUUCAUUUUAGUUAAAGAAAAUAAAAAUGUAGUUAAGGGUAACUUUAUUGUAGCUUAACUUCUUCCAGUGUGAAGUAAUUGGUAGCUUGGUAAACUAUGCACACACAAAAAUACAGGCACUCUCCUCCAACAGACAUAUCAAACACUCACCAAGGAACUGGUGCCUGCCUGUACCAAAACACCCAUUAACUACACCAUCACACCAUUAAAAUUCCCUGCUCUCUCUUUCUCUGAGGUUUGUACAUAUUAACAGGACAGAUUCCUCAUUUAAAAGCAUCCCUCAUCCUAAAGAAUCCCAUUUAACUCAAUCUUAAAAUGUUUUUAAUGGAACCGUUCAUUGUAAAUAUGAUAUAAAACCAUUGAAAAUGUUGAUUUGUAUUGUGUGG
Long non-coding RNA from Oncorhynchus tshawytscha (Chinook salmon), 2070 nucleotides. RefSeq lists it as uncharacterized. NCBI's taxonomy places the organism in Eukaryota, Metazoa, Chordata, Actinopteri, Salmoniformes, Salmonidae. The transcript has 4 exons. The record is from RefSeq and is a predicted model, not a curated record.